UCCAAAACUUGUGGCAACACAGUCAAGGGACCAAAGUGUGAUGUCAGCAAAAUUAUACACAGCCAGUAAGAGAGCAUAGAAGGGAUCCCUUAAGACUGAUUCAUCACUAUUUGACUCCCCUCGAUCAGCCUGCAUUACUCACCAUUGCAGUGGUAAAAAGAGGGGGGUUUCCUCCAGCUAUUAUGGCUAUAUUCUAUUUCCACUGUCAGAACCAGUAUACCUCUUAAUAUCAGUUGCUGGGCUUCACAAACUGGGAGAGUACUACUCCGCUCAGGACCUGAUUUGGGGCAUCUUGCUGGCCACUGUAAAAACAGGAUGCUGAGUAGAUGGCUCUGUGGCCUGAUCCAGCCGGACUCUUCUUACGUCGCUGCCCUUUAAUGAAGGAUUAUUGGCAAAGGGGAAUUCUGACUCGCUUUAGCGACUGUGAAGCCCCAGUCCCCAUUCACUCGAAGCAUUAAGGUGGCUUCUGUGGGGUGUGUGAAGAACUCUGAAGGAAAUGAAUAGCUCCAGCCUGGAAUAAAAUCCCUCCCCUUAAAAAAA
Molecule: long non-coding RNA, 540 nt
Organism: Lacerta agilis (Sand lizard)
Lineage: Eukaryota; Metazoa; Chordata; Lepidosauria; Squamata; Lacertidae
Exons: 2
Source: RefSeq, a predicted model, not a curated record